AUACGUAAGGGGCGAGCGUUGUCCGGAUUCACUGGGCGUAAAGGGCGCGUAGGCGGCGAUACAAGUCAGAGGUGAUAGCUAUGGGCUCAACCCAUAAACUGCCUUUGAAACUGUAUUGCUUGAGUAUUGCAGAGGAAAGUGGAAUUCAUGGUGUAGCGGUGAAAUGCGUAGAUAUCAUGGAGAACACCUAUGGCGAAGGCAGCUUUCUGGGCAAAUACUGACGCUGAGGCGCGAAAGCUAGGGUAGCGAACAGGAUUAGAAACCCCUGUAGUCC
Molecule: ribosomal RNA, 274 nt
Filed under: uncultured bacterium
Lineage: Bacteria
Description: partial 16S ribosomal RNA
Rfam family: Bacterial small subunit ribosomal RNA
Source: RNAcentral